Long non-coding RNA from Peromyscus eremicus (cactus mouse), 2042 nucleotides. RefSeq lists it as uncharacterized. The transcript has 2 exons. Lineage: Eukaryota; Metazoa; Chordata; Mammalia; Rodentia; Cricetidae. The record is from RefSeq and is a predicted model, not a curated record.
CGCGUCUGGCUCGUCCACCCGCCGCGGCGCAGCCUAGGUGAAGCUCGCGAAGACAGGCGGUUCUGAUUAGCGCACGCCAAGUCCUUAGGGCGGUUGCUCGGCGUAUUUAACGUGAAAUGGGGUCACUCGGCCGCGUAGAGGCUCAGAGACUGGGGGUCGGAAAAGGGGGAGAAGACUCAAUAUGUGGAGGGGUGAGAAGGGUUCCAGGUCUUUAAGGGAUCUCAGUGGGGAGCCGAGAGCGGGAAUUGGGGAGUGAGCUCUUGACAUUGAGCUCACAGUGCCUCUACACACCCCAGGGACUUAAUAGGGACCUGCAUGACCUUGGGAACAAACCCACUGAUUGAGGAUCCCAUGGGACCGGCCACUGAAGAGCUGGCCUCGGCCUCUUGGGGGCAUACAGAACUUCAGGUUCUGGCUGAACUUCCUGGAGAGCCCUGACUUCACUCUUCUCCAAUGUAGCUGGUGAGAAGGGAAGAGGUGAAGGCUUAGGGUGUGUCAUAGGACAGUGUGGGUCGAUUUCUUUCAUGCCAAAUCCAUCAUGCGUGAUGCCAGCACUUCAGAUGACCGCCUUUAGAAGCCACAGUACGAGCCAGCUUUCCUCUCUAAAGAACACAGGCAACUUGAAAUAAGAACUAUAAAAAUGCUCGUGUGUUUUGACAUCUGAAGAGUAAAACAAUUUUUUUCUCUCAAGAAAUUGAUAUCAUAGUAAACGAUUGAAAACAGUUUCGCUGUGCUGUUAAAAUUGGCCAGAGCGAAAACGGCAUCAACACCUGGACUUGUGUUUAUCAAGCCGUGGUAAGUGAGAAGAGCAGAACAACGAAGUACAUGCCCUCCGCGUCUCUCUAUAAAAACACACGCUCACCCACUUCACAGCUAAACAAGAAGUUACAUUCGUGCAAAUUGAAUCUCAUCUGCUGUAGCCUUGCCUGAGCAACGUCCAAAAAUUGACAAAAGAGAAGAGAGGGAAGGUCUCAUCACUGAGGAGAGAAAACCGGUUUUGGACAUGCUUUAAUUUGUCUGAGGUCAAAGCGAGGAGACUAACUAUCCUGAAUUAAAGGUGGUAAAGCUUGCCUCAUUUGGCCUUAAGAUAAGUCCAUGCUUGGGGUCCGAAAGGCAUGCUUAUUUCUCAGCUAAUUUCACUUUGUUGUAUUUGAGAUCUUUCUCAAGGCAGAAGUGCCUACACGUGACAAUGUGUUUGUGUUAAAUGAGAUGCUGUAGCAUAAAUGACAUGGAAGAUUUGAAUUUAUUAGCUUUGUUCUAUUAGUUAUAAAAGGUUAACAAACAUCCGAGUUUUAAAAGAUAAACCGAAGGGCGAGAGACUGGCCUCUUAUUUCCCGAUGCUCUAUGGGCCUACUGCAGUCAGGAAUAAAUAGUAAGCUGCCCAUCUUAGGACCUGCAGCCAGGGCUGUUUGAUCUGCAGGGUGAGCAUCCACUGGUAUGUACGUGAGCUCUGUGGAGGAGCCACGGUGAGAGGAGAACUGUUAUGUAAUUAUAGCAUCCAUAGCGUCCGACGCGCCUCCCAGCCCAGCCUAAUACUUUGUACUGUGAAGUGGGCGUCAUCAGGAUAGUGAGAAUUAAUUAAUGUUUAUGAAGACCUGUCCAGAUUCAUGGGAGGAAAGUGCUUUACAGGUAGAGUGGUGCAGUGUUUGGGAAAAGAUGUCCUCUUUUUCCUAAACUGCAGGUUGGAGAGAAGCCUUGUCAUUUCAAAGUCAACCUUCAUUUAAAAAUUUUUUUUUGUUUUUUGAAAAUUUUGGGUGGAUUACUUACCUUAUGAGUCAGAUUUAUCUGGAGUGUUUUGCCCUCAUAAAACUUAAAGACUUGAUGUUUGACAGGGCUUAAUGCAUGUCAGAUACUGUCAUUCUCAUCAGUGACACAUAGAGUUGAUGCCCAGCACACACAUGCUUUCACACCACUUCUUUAUAGUGUGUAUAGUAAACAAAUUACAGUAUAUAAAUACAGUAGUUUAUAGUUCAGGAGUAACUGAUACCUAAGCACAAAACAACACAUUUUGAAUUAUUUGAAUUAAAUGAAUCACAUUUGAA